GACGAACCGUGCGAACGUUGUUCGGAAUCACUGGGCUUAAAGGGCGCGUAGGCGGGCUGUCAAGUUUGGGGUGAAAUCCCGCGGCUCAACCGUGGAACUGCCUCAAAUACUGACGGCCUCGAGGAAGGUAGGGGCAUGCGGAACUGUAGGUGGGGCGGUGAAAUGCGUUGAUAUCUACAGGAACUCCGGUGGCGAAAGCGGCGUGCUGGACCUUUUCUGACGCUGAGGCGCGAAAGCUAGGGGAGCAAACGGG
RNAcentral lists this ribosomal RNA (253 nucleotides) under uncultured bacterium. RNAcentral describes it as "partial 16S ribosomal RNA". It matches the Rfam family "Bacterial small subunit ribosomal RNA", at positions 524 to 776 of the family's 1533-position model. The record is from RNAcentral.